RNAcentral lists this ribosomal RNA (486 nucleotides) under uncultured bacterium. Its description in RNAcentral is "partial 16S ribosomal RNA". It matches the Rfam family "Bacterial small subunit ribosomal RNA", at positions 28 to 523 of the family's 1533-position model. The record is from RNAcentral.
GAUGAACGCUGGCGGCGUGCCUAAUACAUGCAAGUCGAGCGAAUGGAUUAAGAGCUUGCUCUUAUGAAGUUAGUGGCGAACGGGUGAGUAACACGUGAGUAACCUGCCCUUGACUCUGGGAUAACUGCGGGAAACUGUAGCUAAUACCGGAUACGACCCUCGGCGGCAUCGCCAGGGGGUGGAAGGAAUUUCGGUCAAGGAUGGACUCGCGGCCUAUCAGCUAGUUGGUGAGGUAACGGCUCACCAAGGCGACGACGGGUAGCCGGCCUGAGAGGGUGAACGGCCACACUGGGACUGAGACACGGCCCAGACUCCUACGGGAGGCAGCAGUGGGGAAUAUUGCACAAUGGGCGCAAGCCUGAUGCAGCAACGCCGCGUGAGGGAUGACGGCCUUCGGGUUGUAAACCUCUUUUAGUAGGGAAGAAGCGAAAGUGACGGUACCUGCAGAAAAAGCACCGGCUAACUACGUGCCAGCCGCCGCCGUAA